AAAAAAAAAAAAAAAAAAAAAAAAAAAAACGG
This 32-nucleotide non-coding RNA is filed under the name uncultured eukaryote. The record is from RNAcentral.